RNAcentral lists this ribosomal RNA (443 nucleotides) under Macrobrachium malayanum. Its description in RNAcentral is "partial 16S ribosomal RNA". It matches the Rfam family "Bacterial large subunit ribosomal RNA", at positions 1922 to 2578 of the family's 2925-position model. The record is from RNAcentral. Lineage: Eukaryota; Metazoa; Arthropoda; Malacostraca; Decapoda; Palaemonidae.
UUUAAAGGGCCGCGGUAUUUUGACCGUGCGAAGGUAGCAUAGUCAGUAGUCUUUUAAUUGAAGGCUUGUAUGAAGGGCUGAACGAGGGGUUAGCUGUCUCUUUUAUGUUGUAAGAAUUUAACUUUUGAGUGAAAAGGCUCAAAUUACCUAGAGGGACGAUAAGACCCUAUAAAACUUAAUACAGGUUUGAUUAGGUUACGAUUUUAGUAUAAAGUGGUAUUAUUAAGUUUGUAUUCCGUUGGGGCGAUGAAGAUAUAAUUUGUAACUGUCUGUCAAAAUAUAAUAGUUAUUGCUAGAAUUUGAUCCUGCUUUGUGGAUUAUAAGAAUAGUUACUUUAGGGAUAACAGCGUAAUUUUCUUUGAGAGUUCUUAUCGACAAGAGUAGUUGCGACCUCGAUGUUGAAUUAAAAUUUCAGCUAGGUGUAGCUGUUUAGCUGAUAGGUC